This is a long non-coding RNA of Hyaena hyaena (striped hyena), 279 nucleotides long. RefSeq lists it as uncharacterized. The record is from RefSeq and is a predicted model, not a curated record. The transcript is spliced from 4 exons. Lineage: Eukaryota; Metazoa; Chordata; Mammalia; Carnivora; Hyaenidae.
CUGGAUAGUGAGCUCCAUGAGGGUGAUGACAACAUCUUGGAGUUAGAUAGUGGUCAUGGUUGCACAAUACUGUAGCCAGGUGUUUGGCAAUGACAUCCUUCCAUUCAAAGUGAGCAUCUGAAGAGCUGACGCCCCCUCAGAGGAGAUUAAGACACAGACAACACACAGAUGGAAGGGCAGCCACAUGAGGACACAGCAAGAAGGUGGCUAUCCACAAGCCAAGGGAAGAGGCCUCUAAAGAAACCAACCCUGCUGACACCUUGAUCUUGGACUUCCAGC